UUAACAUUCACAAUGUGGAUUAGAUGAUUUACUCCUGUUUCUUGAUAGUUGAGUUGCUGCAUAUUCAACAACUAUAAAAACUGCCAGUGUUUUCUGCUGUGCUGUUUCACUGUGUCCACACACACAGCUGUCAGAGCCAAGCUGAGUUCAGAGUGUGUGGUGUUCCUUGAGCUGCCUGGACUCACAGGAGCCUUGAUAUUGAAGGAGGGUUGGGACAGAGAGGCAGAUGCAGUCUUGGUAGUGCCCUUGUGACUGGGGAGAUGCUGUGGACGUUCACCCAGUGUCACCUCUGAAGCGUUCACACUGUGUGGUGGUCCUGGGCUUGCAGACUUGCCCUUCAUGCCAGCCCUGCAAGGCUGGGGCAGCAACCUCCUGGCUAACACUGGCUGUGCCAUGUUGCUUGGUUGAAAUUCAUUAUAAAAUCUUACUCCAUCUUUUAUUCUCCAGACAUUGCUUUUGGAAACUUUUUCCUGAUUACAAUUGGAUGAUUAAGAGAAGACAAAUUAUUUGUACACUCCAUGCUCUUGUUU
This 530-nucleotide long non-coding RNA is filed under the name Marmota monax (woodchuck). The record is from RNAcentral. Lineage: Eukaryota; Metazoa; Chordata; Mammalia; Rodentia; Sciuridae.